UACGGAGGAUCCGAGCGUUAUCCGGAUUUAUUGGGUUUAAAGGGUGCGUAGGCGGUUUGAUAAGUUAGAGGUGAAAUGUCGGGGCUCAACCCCGAAACUGCCUCUAAUACUGUUGGACUAGAGAAUAGUUGCGGUAGGCGGAAUGUAUGGUGUAGCGGUGAAAUGCUUAGAGAUCAUACAGAACACCGAUUGCGAAGGCAGCUUACCAAACUAUAUCUGACGUUAAGGCACGAAAGCGUGGGUAGCAAACAGG
Molecule: ribosomal RNA, 253 nt
Filed under: uncultured bacterium
Lineage: Bacteria
Description: partial 16S ribosomal RNA
Rfam family: Bacterial small subunit ribosomal RNA
Source: RNAcentral